This 407-nucleotide ribosomal RNA is filed under the name Verrucomicrobiota bacterium. Its description in RNAcentral is "Verrucomicrobia bacterium partial 16S ribosomal RNA". It matches the Rfam family "Bacterial small subunit ribosomal RNA", at positions 355 to 776 of the family's 1533-position model. The record is from RNAcentral. Lineage: Bacteria; Pseudomonadati; Verrucomicrobiota.
UGGGGAAUAUUGGACAAUGGAGGGAACUCUGAUCCAGCAAUUCUGUGUGUGUGAAGAAGGUUUUAGGACUGUAAAACACUUUUAGUAGGGAAGAAAAAAAUGACGGUACCUACAGAAGAAGCAACGGCUAAAUACGUGCCAGCAGCCGCGGUAAUACGUAUGUUGCGAGCGUUAUCCGGAAUUAUUGGGCUUAAAGGGCAUCUAGGCGGUUAAACAAGUUGAAGGUGAAAACCUGUGGCUCAACCAUAGGCUUGCCUACAAAACUGUAUAACUAGAGUACUGGAAAGGUGGGUGGAACUACACGAGUAGAGGUGAAAUUCGUAGAUAUGUGUAGGAAUGCCGAUGAUGAAGAUAACUCACUGGACAGCAACUGACGCUGAAGUGCGAAAGCUAGGGGAGCAAACAGG